This 420-nucleotide ribosomal RNA is filed under the name bacterium. RNAcentral's name for it is "partial 16S ribosomal RNA". It matches the Rfam family "Bacterial small subunit ribosomal RNA", at positions 355 to 776 of the family's 1533-position model. RNAcentral also lists the same sequence under 1 other name. The record is from RNAcentral.
UGGGGGAUAUUGCACAAUGGGCGAAAGCCUGAUGCAGCGACGCCGCGUGGGGGAUGAAGGCUUUCGGGUUGUAAACCUCUUUCGCUAUCGAACAAGGCCCGCUUAGGGUGGGUUGAGGGUAGGUGGAGAAGAAGCGCCGGCUAACUACGUGCCAGCAGCCGCGGUAAUACGUAGGGCGCGAGCGUUGUCCGGAAUUAUUUGGCGUAAAGGGCUUGUAGGCGGCUUGUUGCGCCUGCUGUGAAAACGCGGGGCUUAACUUCGCGCGUGCAGUGGGUACGGGCAGGCUUGAGUGUGGUAGGGGUGACUGGAAUUCCAGGUGUAGCGGUGGAAUGCGCAGAUAUCUGGAGGAACACCGAUGGCGAAGGCAGGUCACUGGGCCAUUACUGACGCUGAGGAGCGAAAGCAUGGGUAGCGAACAGG